This 305-nucleotide ribosomal RNA is filed under the name uncultured bacterium. Its description in RNAcentral is "bacterial SSU rRNA". It matches the Rfam family "Bacterial small subunit ribosomal RNA", at positions 335 to 657 of the family's 1533-position model. The record is from RNAcentral.
UUCCCUACGGGGCGCAGCAGUGGGGGAUAUUGCACAAUGGGGGGAACCCUGAUGCAGCGACGCCGCGUGGGCGAUGGAGCGCCUCGGCGCGUAAAGCCCUAUCAGCAGGGAAGAAGAUGACGGUACCUGACUAAGAAGCCCCGGCUAAAUACGUGCCAGCAGCCGCGGUAAUACGUAUGGGGCAAGCGUUAUCCGGAUUUACUGGGUGUAAAGGGAGCGUAGACGGUGUGGCAAGUCUGAAGUGAAAGCCCGGGGCUCAACCCCGGGACUGCUUUGGAAACUGUCAUGCUGGAGUGCUGGAGAGG